Molecule: ribosomal RNA, 448 nt
Filed under: uncultured organism
Description: partial 16S ribosomal RNA
Rfam family: Bacterial small subunit ribosomal RNA
Source: RNAcentral
ACUCCUGCGGGAGGCAGCAGUGGGGAAUAUUGGACAAUGGGCGCAAGCCUGAUCCAGCCAUGCCGCGUGAGUGAUGAAGGCCCUAGGGUUGUAAAGCUCUUUCACCGGUGAAGAUAAUGACGGUAACCGGAGAAGAAGCCCCGGCUAACUUCGUGCCAGCAGCCGCGGUAAUACGAAGGGGGCUAGCGUUGUUCGGAUUUACUGGGCGUAAAGCGCACGUAGGCGGACUAUUAAGUCAGGGGUGAAAUCCCGGGGCUCAACCCCGGAACUGCCUUUGAUACUGGUAGUCUUGAGUUCGAGAGAGGUGAGUGGAAUUCCGGGUGUAGAGGUGAAAUUCGUAGAUAUUCGGAGGAACACCAGUGGCGAAGGCGGCUCACUGGCUCGAUACUGACGCUGAGGUGCGAAAGCGUGGGGAGCAAACAGGAUUAGAAACCCCAGUAGUCCCAUG